Molecule: ribosomal RNA, 536 nt
Filed under: Ptenidiophyes sp. SL-2016
Lineage: Eukaryota; Metazoa; Arthropoda; Insecta; Hemiptera; Schizopteridae
Description: LSU rRNA
Rfam family: Eukaryotic large subunit ribosomal RNA
Source: RNAcentral
CGGACCAAGGAGUCUAACAUGUGCGCAAGUCAUUGGGUGAUUAAAACCUAAAGGCAUAACAAAAGUAAAGAAAGCUUUGCUUUAUUAGGGAUGAUGACUAUUUAAUUAAGUUUUUUUUUAAAAAUUUAGUUAUAGUCCGCAAUCCCAGGGCGUCUAUUACUCAUUGCUAGUAAGGGCGCACCAAGAGCGUACACGUUGGGACCCGAAAGAUGGUGAACUAUGCCUGGCCAGGAUGAAGCCAGGGGAAACCCUGGUGGAGGUCCGUAGCGAUUCUGACGUGCAAAUCGAUCGUCAGAGCUGGGUAUAGGGGCGAUAGACUUAUCGAACUAUCUAGUAGCUGGUUCCCUCCGAAGUUUCCCUCAGGAUAGCUGGUAUCAAUGAUGAUAUGAAUCUCAUCUGGUAAAGCGAAUGAUUAGAGGCCUUGGGGCCGAAACGACCUCAACCUAUUCUCAAACUUUAAAUGGAUGAGAGCCUUGGCUUGCUUAAAAAGUGAAGCCAGGGUUUUGGAUCUAGAUACCAAGUGGGCCAAUUUUGGU